UUUGACGUUAGCGACAGAAGAAGCACCGGCUAACUCCGUGCCAGCAGCCGCGGUAAUACGGAGGGUGCGAGCGUUAAUCGGAAUUACUGGGCGUAAAGCGCAUGCAGGUGGUUUGUUAAGUCAGAUGUGAAAGCCCGGGGCUCAACCUCGGAAUUGCAUUUGAAACUGGCAGACUAGAGUACUGUAGAGGGGGGUAGAAUUUCAGGUGUAGCGGUGAAAUGCGUAGAGAUCUGAAGGAAUACCGGUGGCGAAGGCGGCCCCCUGGACAGAUACUGACACUCAGAUGCGAAAGCGUGGGGAGCAAACAGGAUUAGAUACCCUGGUAGUCCACGCCGUAAACGAUGUCUACUUGGAGGUUGUGGCCUUGAGCCGUGGCUUUCGGAGCUAACGCGUUAAGUAGACCGCCUGGGGAGUACGGUCGCAAGAUUAAAACUCAAAUGAAUUGACGGGGGCCCGCACAAGCGGUGGAGCAUGUGGUUUAAUUCGAUGCAACGCGAAGAACCUUACCUACUCUUGACAUCCAGAGAACUUUCCAGAGAUGGAUUGGUGCCUUCGGGAACUCUGAGACAGGUGCUGCAUGGCUGUCGUCAGCUCGUGUUGUGAAAUGUUGGGUUAAGUCCCGCAACGAGCGCAACCCUUAUCCUUGUUUGCCAGCGAGUAAUGUCGGGAACUCCAGGGAGACUGCCGGUGAUAAACCGGAGGAAGGUGGGGACGACGUCAAGUCAUCAUGGCCCUUACGAGUAGGGCUACACACGUGCUACAAUGGCGCAUACAGAGGGCRGCCAACUUGCGAAAGUGAGCGAAUCCCAAAAAGUGCGUCGUAGUCCGGAUUGGAGUCUGCAACUCGACUCCAUGAAGUCGGAAUCGCUAGUAAUCGUGGAUCAGAAUGCCACGGUGAAUACGUUCCCGGGCCUUGUACACACCGCCCGUCACACCAUGGGAGUGGGCUGCAAAAGAAGUAGGUAGUUUAACCUUCGGGGGGACGCUUACCACUUUGUGGUUCAUGACUGGGGUGAAGUCGUAACAAGGUAGCGCUAGGGGAACCUGGCGCUGGAUCACCUCCUUAAACGAUGAU
Molecule: ribosomal RNA, 1075 nt
Filed under: Vibrio parahaemolyticus
Lineage: Bacteria; Pseudomonadati; Pseudomonadota; Gammaproteobacteria; Vibrionales; Vibrionaceae
Description: bacterial SSU rRNA
Source: RNAcentral